RNAcentral lists this ribosomal RNA (471 nucleotides) under uncultured bacterium. RNAcentral describes it as "bacterial SSU rRNA". It matches the Rfam family "Bacterial small subunit ribosomal RNA", at positions 1023 to 1499 of the family's 1533-position model. The record is from RNAcentral.
AGAGACCCAGUAGAGGUGCUGCAUGGCUGUCGUCAGCUCGUGCCGUGAGGUGUUGGGUUAAGUCCCGCACGAGCGCAACCCUUACUCUUAGUUGCCACCCGCAAGGGGGAACUCUAAGAGGACCGCUCCGGAUAACGGAGAGGAAGGUGGGGAUGACGUCAAGUCAGCAUGGCCUUUAUGUCCAGGGCUACACACGUGUUACAAUGCGCGGUACAACCGUCGCGAACCCGCGAGGGGGAGCCAAUCGGAAAAACCGCGCUCAGUUCGGAUUGCAGUCUGCAACUCGACUGCAUGAAGCCGGAAUCGCUAGUAAUGGCGUAUCAGAACGACGCCGUGAAUACGUUCCCGGGCCUUGUACACACCGCCCGUCACAUCACGAAAGUGAGCUGUACUAGAAGUCGCUGCGCUAACCGCAAGGAAGCAGGCGCCCAAGGUAUGGCCCAUGAUUGGGGUGAAGUCGUAACAAGGUAC